AGUGAACGCUGGCGGUAGGCCUAACACAUGCAAGUCGAACGGCAGCACAGUAAGAGCUUGCUCUUACGGGUGGCGAGUGGCGGACGGGUGAGGAAUACAUCGGAAUCUACUUUUUCGUGGGGGAUAACGUAGGGAAACUUACGCUAAUACCGCAUAUGACCUACGGGUGAAAGCAGGGGAUCUUCGGACCUUGCGCGAUUCAAUGAGCCGAUGUCGGAUUAGCUAGUUGGCGGGGUAAAGGCCCACCAAGGCGACGAUCCGUAGCUGGUCUGAGAGGAUGAUCGGCCACACUGGAACUGAGACACGGUCCAGACUCCUACGGGAGGCAGCAGUGGGGAAUAUUGGACAAUGGGCGCAAGCCUGAUCCAGCCAUGCCGCGUGGGUGAAGAAGGCCUUCGGGUUGUAAAGCCCUUUUGUUGGGAAAGAAAAGCAGCAGGUUAAUACCCCGCUGUUCUGACGGUACCCAAAGAAUAAGCACCGGCUAACUUCGUG
Molecule: ribosomal RNA, 492 nt
Filed under: uncultured bacterium
Lineage: Bacteria
Description: partial 16S ribosomal RNA
Rfam family: Bacterial small subunit ribosomal RNA
Source: RNAcentral